This is a long non-coding RNA of Mus caroli (Ryukyu mouse), 1631 nucleotides long. RefSeq lists it as uncharacterized. NCBI's taxonomy places the organism in Eukaryota, Metazoa, Chordata, Mammalia, Rodentia, Muridae. The record is from RefSeq and is a predicted model, not a curated record.
GCAUCUUAAUAGGCAAAUGGAAAUGAGAAAGACAGGUUCUGCACUUCUGUAGAAAUUUAAUCUAACCCACAACCACUCACAGGCUUUUCAUUGAUAGGAGAGCCUCACCAGAGAUUUUAAAAGGAACCAAAUAUGAGAUUGAUAAUAAGCCUUCCCCCACCUUGUGUUCACCUAAUUCUUGAGUAGAAAAAAAAAUCCUGUAAGUAGAUCUAGCAUUGGUUGAAACGUAUGCAUCUUAGGAAGGUCUGUUUGAAGAUUUCUCUGACAUUAUGCAAGGUUGGCCUGUCUGCCAAGUUUCUCCAUUGCUGAUAGAGAGCAUGAAGCCGCUGAUACUGCAGAGGAUUCAAGGAAGAGGAAGGUCCUGUUCUUUCCUGCUUCCAGCUUCCUGCCAGGACUUCCUUUAAUGAUGGACUGUAACCUGAAGCUCAAACCCCAAAUGACAUUCCUGCUCUGUUGCUUGUACCCUGGACUGCUCACCGCCUGAGCCUACCUGCCCUUGUGGGGUUGGAGGUGAGGUGUCACAAAGUCAUCAACACAGACUCUGGAAGCAGAUUUAUUGCCUUGUUUGAGGAAAAAAAAUACUAUACAUCUCUCAGAACGAAAGUUCACUGGACAGUAACUCUUAAAGAUGUCAGGAAGCUCUAAUUAAAUACUGGCCAGGUGGAAGAACUCUGGCCUGGUCCACACCCAGGUUCUCGGGAAAUGGUCGUUCCUUGCAGAAGCUUUAAAAAGCAACCACAAGGCCACUGUAUCUCCAAUCAAGUCUAAUCAGGGGCAACCAUAUAUCCUGACAUAGUUUCUGCCUACAUAUGUUCCAAUCAUGGGCAAGUGUACAAACUGAUAUAGUUCCUGCCGACGUAUCUCCUGCCCACGUGUGAUCAAACACAUCUGGUGCAGAUGGCUCAAACAAACAUAGGACGAACAGGAACUUCUUAACUACAAACAGAGCUCUUAACCGGCAAGAGAAGACUCCUGGAAGGAACUGCCCAGCUGAGGACUACACCUUCUUUUUGUUUUGGUACAGAGAGAGACCAGCUGACUGGUUUUCAGAAUGAAAAUGGAGAACUGAUGUCCUUAGAGAAACAGCAAGGGAGAUCAAUGUUGCACCUGACUAAGAGUUACAAAAGGUGGAUUCAGAGAUGAAAUAACCAGAGACUGAGAUGGGAAUUCGAUGGACUCUACAGUUUAGAGGAGUCUAGCUGGCAGCCCAAAGAGGUGACUGAGAACUGGCUGUGUAAGAACAGCAGAGCUUCCUGGGAGAAACAGGCUUCAUUUUUCCUGCUUUAAAAAAAAAUAUGCGAGAACUCCAAUGUUCUGGCAAAAUUAAGGAAACCUGCAAUCGGUUGCUUGGGAAAAAGAAACCCAGCAAACCUGUCUGUAGUAAAUUACAUAUGGGGACAAAGCCCCACUGCCUCCCGAGGCUGCCUCCCUCCCUGCUGCCAUCCUUAAGGUAAUGUCUUCAGACUGCACAAGCUGCAUUUCAGAGACCUGCAGUCCAAACUUGACACCUAAGAACUGUGUCCCUUUAAGUAAGUCUCAUGGCUUUUUGUCUGAGUUUCAUGAUAUUAUUUGUAACAUGACAUUAAAUCUGUUUCUUCAUAGUGAUAUGAGAAAUAAACACACUUUCAUCA